AGUGAACGCUGGCGGUAGGCCUAACACAUGCAAGUCGAACGGCAGCACAGUAAGAGCUUGCUCUUACGGGUGGCGAGUGGCGGACGGGUGAGGAAUACAUCGGAAUCUACUUUUUCGUGGGGGAUAACGUAGGGAAACUUACGCUAAUACCGCAUACGACCUACGGGUGAAAGCAGGGGAUCUUCGGCCCUUGCGCGAUUGAAUGAGCCGAUGUCGGAUUAGCUAGUUGGCGGGGUAAAGGCCCACCAAGGCGACGAUCCGUAGCUGGUCUGAGAGGAUGAUCAGCCACACUGGAACUUAGACACGGUCCAGACGCCUACGGGAGGCAGCAGUGGGGAAUAUUGGACAAAGGGCGCAAGCCUGAUCCAGCCAUACCGCGUGGGUGAAGAAGGCCUUCGGGUUGUAAAGCCCUUUUGUUGGGAAAGAAAAGCAGCAGGUUAAUACCCCGCUGUUCUGACGGUACCCAAAGAAUAAGCACCGGCUAACUUCGUG
This 492-nucleotide ribosomal RNA is filed under the name uncultured bacterium. Its description in RNAcentral is "partial 16S ribosomal RNA". It matches the Rfam family "Bacterial small subunit ribosomal RNA", at positions 29 to 507 of the family's 1533-position model. The record is from RNAcentral.